Molecule: ribosomal RNA, 254 nt
Filed under: uncultured bacterium
Lineage: Bacteria
Description: partial 16S ribosomal RNA
Rfam family: Bacterial small subunit ribosomal RNA
Source: RNAcentral
UACGAAGGGGGCUAGCGUUGCUCGGAAUCACUGGGCGUAAAGCGCACGUAGGCGGACUUUUAAGUCGGAGGUGAAAUCCUGGAGCUCAACUCCAGAACUGCCUUCGAUACUGAGAGUCUUCGAGUUCGGGAGAGGUGAGUGGAACUGCGAGUGUAGAGGUGAAAUUCGUAGAUAUUCGCAAGAACACCAGUGGCGAAGGCGGCCCACUGGCCCGAUACUGACGCUGAGGUGCGAAAGCGUGGGGAGCAAACAGG